This 949-nucleotide ribosomal RNA is filed under the name Bifidobacterium longum. RNAcentral's name for it is "bacterial SSU rRNA". It matches the Rfam family "Bacterial small subunit ribosomal RNA", at positions 497 to 1443 of the family's 1533-position model. The record is from RNAcentral. Lineage: Bacteria; Bacillati; Actinomycetota; Actinomycetes; Bifidobacteriales; Bifidobacteriaceae.
CUAACUACGUGCCAGCAGCCGCGGUAAUACGUAGGGUGCAAGCGUUAUCCGGAAUUAUUGGGCGUAAAGGGCUCGUAGGCGGUUCGUCGCGUCCGGUGUGAAAGUCCAUCGCUUAACGGUGGAUCCGCGCCGGGUACGGGCGGGCUUGAGUGCGGUAGGGGAGACUGGAAUUCCCGGUGUAACGGUGGAAUGUGUAGAUAUCGGGAAGAACACCAAUGGCGAAGGCAGGUCUCUGGGCCGUUACUGACGCUGAGGAGCGAAAGCGUGGGGAGCGAACAGGAUUAGAUACCCUGGUAGUCCACGCCGUAAACGGUGGAUGCUGGAUGUGGGGCCCGUUCCACGGGUUCCGUGUCGGAGCUAACGCGUUAAGCAUCCCGCCUGGGGAGUACGGCCGCAAGGCUAAAACUCAAAGAAAUUGACGGGGGCCCGCACAAGCGGCGGAGCAUGCGGAUUAAUUCGAUGCAACGCGAAGAACCUUACCUGGGCUUGACAUGUUCCCGACGGUCGUAGAGAUACGGCUUCCCUUCGGGGCGGGUUCACAGGUGGUGCAUGGUCGUCGUCAGCUCGUGUCGUGAGAUGUUGGGUUAAGUCCCGCAACGAGCGCAACCCUCGCCCCGUGUUGCCAGCGGAUUAUGCCGGGAACUCACGGGGGACCGCCGGGGUUAACUCGGAGGAAGGUGGGGAUGACGUCAGAUCAUCAUGCCCCUUACGUCCAGGGCUUCACGCAUGCUACAAUGGCCGGUACAACGGGAUGCGACGCGGCGACGCGGAGCGGAUCCCUGAAAACCGGUCUCAGUUCGGAUCGCAGUCUGCAACUCGACUGCGUGAAGGCGGAGUCGCUAGUAAUCGCGAAUCAGCAACGUCGCGGUGAAUGCGUUCCCGGGCCUUGUACACACCGCCCGUCAAGUCAUGAAAGUGGGCAGCACCCGAAGCCGGUGGCCUAACCCCU